CGUGUGCCCAGCAAGACAAGCCCCCCAGACACCCCUCACCCGGCAAGACACUGCCCCACUUCAUCACUACGAAAUGUCCAAGAAGAGAGCUAAAUGUAAAACCAAUCACCCACCUUUCCCUAGGAAACCGUCAGCCCAACCUCAACAAACCCUACAUUCCUGCUGACCUUGAAACCACCAGAAAAUAAGAAACAAUUCACCAAGGAAGAAAUACAACUUGUCCUUAAAUACUGAAGAAAGAUGUUCAUUUCAUCCAGGGAAGAGCUGAUGUUGCAGUAUUAAGCCUGGAGGCCAUCUAGAAGCAGAAUUCCCCUCUUCCUUGGAACACUGCAGUCUUUUUCUCUUGAGGCCUUCAACAUAUUGGAAGAGGCCUACCUGCACUGUGGAGGGCCAUCUGCUUUAUUCAAAGUUUACUGAUUACUUUUGCACCAACCUAAUACAUGUUAAUUACGGCCUGGCACGGCGUCACGCCUAUAAUCCCAGCACUUUGGGAGGCCGAGGCAGGGGCAUCACCUGAGGUCGGGAGUUCAAGACCAGCCUGACCAACAUGGAGAAACCCCGUGUCUACUAAAAAUA
RNAcentral lists this long non-coding RNA (576 nucleotides) under Homo sapiens (human). RNAcentral describes it as "HSALNT0290111". The record is from RNAcentral. Lineage: Eukaryota; Metazoa; Chordata; Mammalia; Primates; Hominidae.